This is a non-coding RNA of Physcomitrium patens, 5117 nucleotides long. NCBI's taxonomy places the organism in Eukaryota, Viridiplantae, Streptophyta, Bryopsida, Funariales, Funariaceae. The record is from RefSeq and is a predicted model, not a curated record.
GUAGUCUUCGCCCGCUCGGCCUUUGCUUGCUCCUGUCUCUCGUUGUUUUUGUCUCUGUAGCCGUUGCUCACACCGCCAACUGUUUGUCGUUCUCACUCUGGCGCUAGUUCGGGUGGCCUCAGGGUGCUUAAGCAGGAGCGCCGGUGGCAGCGUGUGCAAGGGAGCUGAGGGAACCCUCGGAUUGUGCCCGCUCUCGCUUCUGCUUUGCUGAUGAAGGCGGGCGACGCUUGCGAGGGAGUGUUUGGGAUGCGUUAGCUGGUGGCUGGUGUCUGGUGUUAUCAUGAAAGGCAGGGAUGAAGAUGUGGGCUACUGGAACUACCCAUAGAGACACUUCGAUACUGGAAUCAAAUGACAUGAUGAGUAGCAAAGUGACAGUUGAAUCAGGAGUUGACAUGGAUGACUGUAAAGUCUGGGGAAGCUCGUGAGGUGAAGAUUCAGAGAGCAGACAAGGUGAACUGUAUUUUCGGAUAUUUACUCCACCUUUUAGGUUUAAACAGGUUGAACGAUGGAUACAGUCCGUCGUUCUCUGCGGGUAGGAAGAUCAAAACUUGGUACUGAGCCAGUAUCUAGAUCAACACCAGCCAUUGAGCCGAAAAAGACUGGCAGGCAGCUCUCUGGGAAGAAAGUACUCAUAGAUGUCACAAACACGUGCGACAGUGAAUCGAAUCGUUCCAGAGGGACUCGCGUAGCCAGUAAACAGGGCGAGUGUAAUGAAUUGGGCAAUCGAUCGGCCUUGAAACCUGCAGUUGAUUUGCAAAUGCCAAGUAUUACAAAGAACAAGAAGAAAGUAACUAGCAGCAAAACCGUUUCAAGUUCAUCGUCCCUCAGUGAAUCCAAGACUACUACUCUGGCUGCUACAGCUAAGGACCCUUAUGUUAAAGCAGUUCAAGUGCGGAAAAUUCAGGAGAAAGAGGCUGUUGUUGGUAGCAAGUCUGGUCCCACCUCAAUUCCGCAUGAGGUAGUCAAUCCCAUUGCUACGCUGAAGGAGAAUUUAGAGAAGCCUAACCGGGUGCGGAAGGCUAAAGACCCAAGGAUUCCAGGUGAUAACAAGAGUCUCUCCACUUCAAAUUCACUGGAUGCAUCCAAAACCAUAUCUGUGGUGGUCACACCGAAGGACCCUGUGGUGAAGGUUUGCCGGUCUCGAAAGAUUAAAGGAUCAGUGGAGUUGCAGUCAAACUCUGGUAUCACUCAUGUGAGCGAUGGGGUCAGUAUUGUUUUUCAAGGAACUGGAACUGUGAAGCAAAAUACAAUUGGGCCAUCAUGCCAAAGGUUAGCACAGGUUGGAUCAACUCAGAUUACUGAUGAAGAUAUUGGUGCAGUCAAGGAGAAGAUAGUGUGCGAUGAGCAAAGCAGCAUUUCCCAUGAGCAGCAACAUCGAAAAAGAAUUCCAAGAUCAACCGGAAAGAGCAGUGGUUUGGGAGAAGCUCAUUCUGAAGCGAAGACGACUUUCGUGAAACCGAAGAGGGUCUACAUGUCUAGCAAAGGCUUAGAUGCAACAUCAUCUAAUGGCAAAAAAAUGGCAUUGCCACUUAAAGGGAAGAAAAUUAUGGGUAGGAAGGCUCCGGCGAAGAUCAUAGACAUGCAAGCACCGUCUUCGUUAGUCACUGGAUUUAAUGACAGCCGUAUUAAUAUUGCUAUGUCAGGCCGCGAUACUAACUGUAUAAUUGAAUCCUUCAGAAAAGUCUCGCUGAAGGUAUCGAAUGAAAACCAAGGUAGUGCCAACAGAUCUACCACUGAGGAUGGUUUGGUGACCCCUAGAGUAGGAGCCUCAGAUAAGUGGAAGAACAGCAGAACAGCCACGCCCAAGUCUGACUACAAGCAUUUGCUAGGAAGUGGAGGAAAAUCUGCGCAGAAAAACAACAGAAGUACCGUGCGGUUGGAAUCAUCUGGCGUUAUAAUGAGUGCUUCAACGGAACUAAUAGUGAACAAUGUCCUAGUCGGAAAACCCGCACUGAAAAAGAGAACCAAGAAGAACAUAGUAAUGCUAUCAGGCAAGACAGCUGAAGGAGCAGUGGGUGGUGAAGAUGCAUGUCCCGCAGGAGGGCAAGGACAAGGUGAGGCAAACUCUAGAGUUUUGAACGAAGUUCCCACUGGAGCCUCUAAAAGUACAUCUGUACAGCAAAGCUUUAGGAGAAAUGCUACUCGUGGGGCUAGGAAACCUGUGAACUAUGCAGAAGAGGACAACCUUGUCACUAGCAAAAUUUCCUCUGUUUCAACUGGGACCUCAAUGUUGCACAGUGGUCAGACUUCAACCAAAGUUGGAGCACCAACUGUCCAACAGGCAACAAGGAGGGGCAGAAGAAAGGUUGAGGCAGCGGUUAUUGCACCGACACACAGUUGCAUUGAAAAUCCGCUUCGCGUCGAUAGCGAAGACUUAAACAGCGGCGUCAUUGCGAUUCCAACUACCAUAGUGAGCUCUUCGGAACAGGAGAACGAUCGAUUUAAGUUAAAAAAGUACGCCUGCGAGAACGUACCAAAGGACCUAUCCCCAGCAGCUACAACUAAGUCGACAAUACGUGUAGCAGAAAGCUCAAUUCAAUUACCUAGUUCAAUUAUGACAGAGAAGCAGUGCUCGUCUAGCGUUCACACGAUAGACGUUGAAAAACUUGCCCCCAGUCUAGAGGAUACAGCACGAACUCCAACUCGUAAAUUCAUCCACGCGAGCAGGACACCAAAAGCCAAGAUUCAAGAUAGCCCCAACUUACCCACAGCUGGAUUGUCGGAGCAAAGUGCCCAUAUCACAGUUGCGACCGGCGCAUAUGCAACAAAGUCUUCAUCUAGUGGAGAAGUAGGUAUUAAAUCACCAUCCUCAAAACCACCACUGAAGAGGGGACAGAAACGUGGCCGCAGAGAGAACAAACUUGGGCCAAAUAUUACCCUUGGCCAAACUUCUGACCUUGAUAGAUUGUUGAUAGACGCCGCUGUUGAUGCGAAGCCAAAUUGCUUUGUACAUCUGCGUGAUGUAAAUGCAUUUAUCUCAAGCGAUGAUCUUGAAAAGUACAACAAGGAAAUCAGUGGAGUGCACGAGCUCUACGAGCAGGUGGACAAGGGCGAAGUAGUGGCUGAGGAUGACCCUGACCAGGCAGUGUUUGAGCAUGAAGACCAGUCGUGCGUAAAUGUUUCAGGGAAAGAAUGCAACACUUUACCUUUCAAGCCUUUGGCUUCAUUUGAUGAUGCGGACAUCUCGAAAAGGUUGAAGGAUUGUUGUAAAACUCUUGGGAAACCUUCUCCACUUCAAGCCCAUGCUAUACCUUUCCUCCUGGCCUCCCGUGAUCUUGUCGCAGUAUCUGAGUCACAUGCUGGAUUUGUCCAAGUCUAUGGUAUGCCUGUAAUCCAACACGCAGUGAAGAAAAAAAAGAGUUAUGUUAGGAAACGGCCUUCACCUCUCUGCUUGGUACUCGCAACCUCUUCAGAUCAUGCCCGACAGAUAACAGAAUCACUGAAGGAGACUUAUGGUUCCCUACGUGUUAAUAUCGCAAGCGCUGUUGAGAAUUCUGAAAAUGUGUCUAAGAUGGAAUCAGUGAAACCUGGAGUGGCAAUUCUCGUGAGCACACCGCACUGCUUGCAGAAGAUGCUUGAGGAUGGUAGCUGUUCACUCGCUUUAGUAGCAUUCAUUGUACUGGAUGGUGCAGAUUGCAUGUUGAACAAUGGGUGCGAGGCAUCGUUGCAAGUUAUUUUUGAUCAAGCUCCUGCAUCCCAGCUUGUUGGAGUGUUCUCUUCAACUUGUGCAUCUGGACUUGAACAGCUGGUGCAAAAUUUUGUUCCGAAUUCGGAUGUAGUAAAAAUAAUUGUAAACAAAUCCGUUAAUAUUACUAUGGACACGCAAGAUCCUCUUCCACUAGAGCAGGAUGUCCAUCAAAUUGUAGAGGUUAUUGAAGAAUCCAACAGAGAUACAAGUUUGACUUCUCUGCUACGAUCAUUUCAAAAGGGAAAGAAGAAUCGAGUUCUGGUGUACGUGCUUUACAAAGAAGAAGCACUUCAUGUUGAAGGUUUGCUGCAACAGAGAGGGUGGAAAGUUGCUUCAGUUCAUGGAGGAAUAUUUGAGCCGGACAGGAACAAGGCUGUCUUUUCCUUCCAGAAUGGCUCAAGUUCUGUUCUUGUCGCUACCGAUGUGGCUGCGAGGGGUUUGGCCAUUCCCAACGUGGACUACGUCAUCAACUAUAGCUUUCCAUACACGUUAUAUGAUUAUGCUCGUCGACUUGGGCAAAUAGGCAGGACAGGACAAAGAGGCAUCAUGCAUACUUUCUUCCUGCCAUCCAAUCAGGCUCGAGCCAAGGAGCUUGUUGAGGUGUUAAGAGAAGCAAAGCAAGAUGUUCCCGAGGGGUUGCUACUUUUCACAAGCCCCGCUCAAAAGAAGCCAAGAACCGAAUAUUGAGACAGGAUUUUCUUGCACAUGUAUGUCCUACUUGAACAUGCAUUUGCUGCAUCUAAGCAAAGAGGACUAACAUAUGGGAUAUACCUACUUCAACUUCAGAUAGCUACGAAUUGUUAGUGUCGUCUUGAAUAGAAGACUGUCUGUUAUCGGAAAGCGUGUCAACAAUGUGCUUCAUACCAAAUCCCAUUGGCACCGACAUCCAAUGGCUGUCGCUUGGGUCGAAAGAUACCUUCCAUCGGCGCUCGAGGCACAGAACGCUAUAAUCUGGGGCUCAAUGAGAGCUUUCUAUUUCCUCCCGCAAGCUUACUUGGCUACUUAUAUAUACAUGCUCCUUGUAUCCGUGAAGGUAGGUGUAUAUAUAUUGUGUUGUGCUUCUAUUCCUAGCUGGGGUAGGGAGUAAUGAUCCCGUUCUAUAUAUGAUAGAAGAUGCCUCAGUCUGACAAAAGUCUUGCCGGUUUGGGCAUGGCUGCCCCCCGGAUGAAGAAUGGAUGUCAACACGGAGUAAGUGUGAUGCACGGAGCUUUUUCGCUGGCAGUUACUAAUGGUUGGUAACCCUCCGUUUGUUCACGAAAACCCGACUCAGAGCUGCUGGUUUGCUUUUAGGUGGGAGUCUGAACGGUGAAGUCCGAAGUUGACGUCCAUCUUUGCCGGAUUUAGGCUUCUCUACCGUAAGGGUUCUCUUUCUUCCCCACAUAAGUAUCCUUAUCGUCAGACAUGCUUACAAUGCAAUACCACUUUCAAA